RNAcentral lists this transfer RNA (73 nucleotides) under Bos taurus (domestic cattle). It matches the Rfam family "tRNA". From Rfam's summary of the family: Transfer RNA (tRNA) molecules are approximately 80 nucleotides in length. Their secondary structure includes four short double-helical elements and three loops (D, anti-codon, and T loops). The record is from Rfam by way of RNAcentral. Lineage: Eukaryota; Metazoa; Chordata; Mammalia; Artiodactyla; Bovidae. RNAcentral also lists the same sequence under 5 other names.
UCCCUGGAGGUCCAGUGGUCAGGGCCCUGCACUUUCACUGCUGAGGGCAUGGGUUCAACCCCUGAUUGGGGAA